This 629-nucleotide ribosomal RNA is filed under the name fungal endophyte. Its description in RNAcentral is "eukaryotic LSU rRNA". The stretch from base 195 to 348 matches the Rfam family "5.8S ribosomal RNA". The record is from RNAcentral. Lineage: Eukaryota; Fungi.
CGGAGGGAUCAUUAAAGAGUUUUCUACAACUCCCAAACCCCUGUGAACAUACCUUCUGUUGCCUCGGCAGGCCUCGCCUACCCUCGUAGCCCCCUACACCGUAGGGCCUACGCCGGGUGGUGCGCGGACCCUGCCGGCGGCCCGCGAAACUCUGUUUAGCACUGAAUCUCUGAACAUCUAACUAAAUAAGUUAAAACUUUCAACAACGGAUCUCUUGGUUCUGGCAUCGAUGAAGAACGCAGCGAAAUGCGAUAAGUAAUGUGAAUUGCAGAAUUCAGUGAAUCAUCGAAUCUUUGAACGCACAUUGCGCCCAUUAGUAUUCUAGUGGGCAUGCCUGUUCGAGCGUCAUUUCAACCCUUAAGCCCCUGUUGCUUAGCGUUGGGAGCCUACGGCAGCGUAGCUCCCCAAAGUUAGUGGCGUGGUCGGUUCACACUCCAGACGUAGUAGAUUUUCGUCUCGCCUGUAGUUGGACCGGUCCCCUGCCGUAAAACACCCCAAUUCUAAAAGGUUGACCUCGGAUCAGGUAGGAAUACCCGCUGAACUUAAGCAUAUCAAUAAGCGGAGGAAAAGAAACCAACAGGGAUUGCCCCAGUAACGGCGAGUGAAGCGGCAACAGCUCAAAUUUGAAA